Oryza nivara is the source of this 205-nucleotide non-coding RNA. Lineage: Eukaryota; Viridiplantae; Streptophyta; Magnoliopsida; Poales; Poaceae. The record is from Rfam.
AGAAAGACAAACUUUAGGUUUCUGUGUGCAACGUUUGACUGUCCGUUUUAUAUGAAUUUUUUUAUAAUCAGUAUUUUUAUUAUUGUUUUACGAUAAAACAUGAUUAAUAUUUUAUAAGUGAUUUGUCUUUUUAAUUUUUUUAUAAUUUUUUUAAAUAAAACGGACAGUCAAACGUUGGAUAUGGAAACAAGCGAUUUUUUUUAAG